Protopterus annectens (West African lungfish) is the source of this 431-nucleotide long non-coding RNA. RefSeq lists it as uncharacterized. The transcript has 2 exons. The record is from RefSeq and is a predicted model, not a curated record. Lineage: Eukaryota; Metazoa; Chordata; Ceratodontiformes; Protopteridae.
GAUUUGGCUCGGCGCGGUUUGCCCUAGAGUCAUUUUUUUCUGUCUCCUUUUCCUGCGCGCGCUGUGGAAAGUCACUACAUCGGAACCGGUGGCCAUGAAAGGAACCGCUUGUGUUUGCAACGUCAUGGGCGAGAGGCCGGCAGUGGCUAAGUGACAGAUGAGCAGCCUGUAGUGUCUGUCUCCAGAACAAGAUUUUACUUCUGGGAAUUAACACACAAGUUACCUCAAUUACUGAUGACUGAAUUCACAACGUAAGAAACCAUCUGAAAUUUCCAAUGGAAUAUCAGAAGAAGAUGCUCGUUCUGUGGAUUACCAUAAUUUGUUUACAUGUUCCACCAUGCAGCUAUGCCAUACUUUUAGAUAUCACUAAAAAUAUGCUCACAUGCAGGGCUUCAGCAGAUAUUAUUAAACUCAAAAGAUGAUCAUGCUAA